AUUGAACGCUGGCGGCAGGCCUAACACAUGCAAGUCGAACGGUAGCACAGAGAGCUUGCUCUCGGGUGACGAGUGGCGGACGGGUGAGUAAUGUCUGGGGAUCUGCCCGAUAGAGGGGGAUAACCACUGGAAACGGUGGCUAAUACCGCAUAACGUCGCAAGACCAAAGAGGGGGACCUUCGGGCCUCUCACUAUCGGAUGAACCCAGAUGGGAUUAGCUAGUAGGCGGGGUAAUGGCCCACCUAGGCGACGAUCCCUAGCUGGUCUGAGAGGAUGACCAGCCACACUGGAACUGAGACACGGUCCAGACUCCUACGGGAGGCAGCAGUGGGGAAUACUGCACAAUGGGCGCAAGCCUGAUGCAGCCAUGCCGCGUGUAUGAAGAAGGCCUUCGGGUUGUAAAGUACUUUCAGCGGGGAGGAAGGCGGUGAGGUUAAUAACCUUGCCGAUUGACGUUACCCGCAGAAGAAGCACCGGCUAACUCCGUGCCAGCCGCCGCCGUAA
This 504-nucleotide ribosomal RNA is filed under the name uncultured bacterium. RNAcentral describes it as "partial 16S ribosomal RNA". It matches the Rfam family "Bacterial small subunit ribosomal RNA", at positions 29 to 523 of the family's 1533-position model. The record is from RNAcentral.